CUUUCUGUCUGGGAAAAUGAAAAAGGAAAAGAAUUUUUAUUUUAACGUCAGAGAGGUAUCCCUUAAUUUUAUCAUAAUGUCAUACUGUCUUUCUUUCUCCUCGGGCAGGUGGCUUUGUCAGGGCCGAGACUUGGUUUUCCUGCCUGUUAGGCCAAGAAAGCUGUCCAUAAGGGCCUGGGCGAUGCCACUCCCGAGGACCCGGUGAUCUGUCCUGUGAAGAGCCUCCCCAGCUUCUCCUUGAGCAAGGUCUGCAGGAUAUGUCGGUUUAACAUCUAUCAGCAGAGCUGGGGGAGUACAAAUCUCCACGGAUUUGACAGUUACCAGAUCGCCGAGGGCUUGGGUUCCUCAUCUGUCAUUGGGGACUCCUCCUGAGGACAAUAUGAAGAUGAACGAGCCGGCUGCUGACGGAGCGCCUGGCCCCCACGGGGAAAUUUGGACACAGACAUGAGCCCAGGGAGAACGCCACGUGAGGAUGAAGGUAGCGGUCAGGGUGAGGCGCCAGCAAGCCACCGGCACAUGGGACAGGGCAUGGGACAGAUUCUCCCUCAUGGCCUUCAAAAGACACCAGCCUCUCCAGUACCUUGGUCUCGGACUUCCAGCCUCCAGAACUGGGAGACAGACUUGUUUUUUAAGUCUCCUUGGCUAGCUGUGCUUUGUUACGGCAGCCCUAGCCAUCUACUACGGGCCCCUCGGAGGAUCUCUUAGGCCAGGAGAACAAUUCAGCCACAAGUUCAGGACAAGGGGAAGCAUUUGUGUGCUUUCCUAUCCCUGACUCCAAGCAAGCCCAGCCAGCCCUCUUUCUUGCCUGCCUGAAUUUGGAUGAGUGAACCAAUGAAUGCAUUGGAAAGCUGGAGGUGUGACUUCACUCUCAAUGGUGGCCGAACCCAUUGAGGUCAAGGCCAGUGAAUGAGUCAUCUGUGCGAUGUGGCUCAGUGAGUCAGGGAGGGCCAGGAAGAAAGCCCAAGUUUGGGGCCCAUUUUCUCUUCCCUUUCCUUUGGAACCUAAAAUCGGCCCCCUAAAAUUCAUCAACCCAAGAAAUAAACAGAGAAAUAGUGUAACACACCACCCCGAUGACACACCCACUGUGUGCUGGGGAAAGAUAAGGACAAAGGACUUAGAAAACAGAGAGAAUGAGUAUGAGGCACCCAGCUGUGCCACUUACUUGCUGUGUGCCUUUGCAUAAGUUUGUGAACUUCUCUGGGCCUGGGUUCUUUUAUUUCUUCCCAUGGGGGUAGUAGUCGUGUCUGUCUGACAGGGUUAUGUCGCGGCCAUACAAGAAAAUGAAUAUAAAGCACUUGGCAAAGGGCCAGGCUCAGCGCAAGUGCUCAGAGAUUGGCAAUGAUUAUUAGUGAGAACGGCCCCUAAGUAAUUUACCCACAAAAGCAAAACCGUGACCCACAGUUCUUGAGUCUUCACCUGUGACUUUGAACGCCCUGGAGAUGACUCUUCCCCCUCCUUCCUUAGGGAAGUUUGGAACAGACCAACCGUGAUCUCAUUUGCUCCCUCUACCAUUAAUUAGUGUUUUCUAAUUAUGAAAAGGAAAUUAUGUCUCAAUUCGUACUGGUCUAAAAGAAAUUAACUAACAACAGAAAGGUGUCAUUUCUCUCUGUGGCGUCAGUUCCCCUGGCGGCCUGGGGUGUGGCUCGGGGCUGUGUUGGCAGGCUGUGUCCUUGGUUCAGGGACAAGCCUGUCUGAGUCAUGGAGGCCCUGCUACUUCCUGGUCCCUCUCCUGGGUUCCUGGGCUCAUCUUCAUGUCUUUGUUCAACAAAACUGCUUUGAGGUUUGUGCCGGGGACCAAGAGAGGCAAGAAACCACGUCCCUGAUCCCAAGCCUAGUGGGAAAGACAGAAAUGGUCAGCAAUGAGACUGUUCACAUAAGAUGCUAGGGCUUCACCUGGUCCCAAAGCAAAUCUGAGAGUUGGUCUCUUGAGGUUAUUGCUGUCCCAUUUUACAGGGGAGGAAACUGAGGCUCCCAGAGGAAAGUGGUCAAUAAUCAAAGCCCAUGUCUCAGAGGCAUUUCAUCUAGAU
Ailuropoda melanoleuca (giant panda) is the source of this 2027-nucleotide long non-coding RNA. RefSeq lists it as uncharacterized. The record is from RefSeq and is a predicted model, not a curated record. The transcript has 3 exons. NCBI's taxonomy places the organism in Eukaryota, Metazoa, Chordata, Mammalia, Carnivora, Ursidae.